This 1172-nucleotide ribosomal RNA is filed under the name Bacillus subtilis. RNAcentral describes it as "bacterial SSU rRNA". It matches the Rfam family "Bacterial small subunit ribosomal RNA", at positions 45 to 1201 of the family's 1533-position model. The record is from RNAcentral. Lineage: Bacteria; Bacillati; Bacillota; Bacilli; Caryophanales; Bacillaceae.
CGGCUAUACAUGCAAGUCGAGCGGACAGAUGGGAGCUUGCUCCCUGAUGUUAGCGGCGGACGGGUGAGUAACACGUGGGUAACCUGCCUGUAAGACUGGGAUAACUCCGGGAAACCGGGGCUAAUACCGGAUGGUUGUUUGAACCGCAUGGUUCAGACAUAAAAGGUGGCUUCGGCUACCACUUACAGAUGGACCCGCGGCGCAUUAGCUAGUUGGUGAGGUAACGGCUCACCAAGGCGACGAUGCGUAGCCGACCUGAGAGGGUGAUCGGCCACACUGGGACUGAGACACGGCCCAGACUCCUACGGGAGGCAGCAGUAGGGAAUCUUCCGCAAUGGACGAAAGUCUGACGGAGCAACGCCGCGUGAGUGAUGAAGGUUUUCGGAUCGUAAAGCUCUGUUGUUAGGGAAGAACAAGUGCCGUUCAAAUAGGGCGGCACCUUGACGGUACCUAACCAGAAAGCCACGGCUAACUACGUGCCAGCAGCCGCGGUAAUACGUAGGUGGCAAGCGUUGUCCGGAAUUAUUGGGCGUAAAGGGCUCGCAGGCGGUUUCUUAAGUCUGAUGUGAAAGCCCCCGGCUCAACCGGGGAGGGUCAUUGGAAACUGGGGAACUUGAGUGCAGAAGAGGAGAGUGGAAUUCCACGUGUAGCGGUGAAAUGCGUAGAGAUGUGGAGGAACACCAGUGGCGAAGGCGACUCUCUGGUCUGUAACUGACGCUGAGGAGCGAAAGCGUGGGGAGCGAACAGGAUUAGAUACCCUGGUAGUCCACGCCGUAAACGAUGAGUGCUAAGUGUUAGGGGGUUUCCGCCCCUUAGUGCUGCAGCUAACGCAUUAAGCACUCCGCCUGGGGAGUACGGUCGCAAGACUGAAACUCAAAGGAAUUGACGGGGGCCCGCACAAGCGGUGGAGCAUGUGGUUUAAUUCGAAGCAACGCGAAGAACCUUACCAGGUCUUGACAUCCUCUGACAAUCCUAGAGAUAGGACGUCCCCUUCGGGGGCAGAGUGACAGGUGGUGCAUGGUUGUCGUCAGCUCGUGUCGUGAGAUGUGGGUUUAAUUCCCGCAACGAGCGCAACCCUUGAUCUUAGUGCAGCAUUCAGUUGGGCACUCUAAGGUGACUGCCGGUGACAACGGAGGAAAGGUGGGGAAUGAACGUCAAAUCAAUCAUGCCCC